ACCUCCUCGGAUGGGGUCCUCUGAGAGGAGCAGGGUGCUCGGGGAGGGAUCGGCGGAGGCCGGGUCCGGGCCUCAGAAUUCGGGGUGCGACACAGCCCCAGGCCGACCAGGCCGCGGCGCCCCGCCCUUUCCCGGGACGAGGGCCGGCCCGGGGCGGGGAGCGGGUGGGCGAGCGGGCGCUUACAGGUCGGUGCCGAGACGCGUGAAGCCGGAGUUGAGCGAGGCCCGGGCUAUCCGGCGCCAGAGCAGGUCGCAGUUGGUGAAGCGCCGCAGCCAGCGGCACACCUGAGCCAGGCGGCCGAGGGCCUGCAUGUCCAGACUGUGUCUUCAGGCUUAGGAAAAAGCAGUUACCUCCCAGCAGCAUGAGGAUACAAGAAGCUUCAGUUGCCAGUAGCAAACACAACAUGAUUGUAACAGGUCCCCCUGGCCCUUGGCGCUUAGAAAGGCCAAGAAGCAAUGGAACCCACUUGGAUUCUCUGAGAAACUCCUCAGCUUGACCACUUCUGUCCCAACCCAGGCUCAGCUGCAACGAGUCACAUAGAAAACCUCAAUCUCCCACUUCUCUAGCAAAGAACCUUCUGAAGUCCACCCCCAUCCCCAGACAAGGGGUUUUCAUUCCAAGUUUGAGGAAAUCUGGCCAGUUGGACCUGGAAUCAACGAAGAUGAAGACAGAAUACACCUUUUCCAUUUCAAAGCAGCCUAGUGGGAUCUUGUUUUUUUCCAACAGGGUGACUCCAAACUGGCAGGACUUUCAAAGCUACAAUUUCCAUGUCCCCAGCCCUCACUAAAGAAAAAUGUCCUGGUUAGCUUGGCAUGUGUAGAGGUUUUGGUGUGCAAGUGAGAGACGUUUAACGAAUAGUUAAACCUGAACUAUGAAUCAAAUUAGUCUAAACAAGAUUCUCCCCCAUCCCCAUGCUGUACUAGUUACCCUACUUAAUUCCUACCCUAGACAUAUAUUCAAAAAUAACUACUAUUUAUCAAGUACCCAGUAAGUACCAGGAACUGAACUAAGUGUUUUAUUUACUUAUAUUGACUUAUUUUAUCUUCACAACUAUGCAAGACAGAAAUUUGAUUUAUUGUUUCCUCUGUGAAGAACAGACAGGUUAAGUAAUUUCCCCAAACUCAACACAGUUAAUAAGCAGCAGAACUAGAGUUCAAAUCUCAUCUCCAGCGCGAUAACAUGGAUGAAUCUCAAAAUCAUCAAUGCAGAGUGAAAGAAGCCGGGGGCGGGGACAGGGGAGAGUGUUUACUGUAUGAUUCCAUGCAUAUAAAAUUACAGAAUAUACGAACUAAUCUAUAGUGAUAGAAAAGCACAUCAGUGAGUAUCUGGGAUGGGUGGAGGGAAGGGGCACAAAGAAUGACAAAUCCUUUGUAAUCUUUGAAUUACAAAGGGGCACAAAGAAACUUUGGGGGAUGAUGGAAACUGUUUGUAAUCUUGAUUGUGGUGAUAUUUUCACAGGUGUACACUUUUAUCAAAACUGAUCAAAUUAUACACUUUAAAUAUGUGCAGGUUAGUGUACUUCAAUAAAGUUAGAAAAAAGUACCCCCCAAAACCCCAUUUCUUAAAUUGUUUCCACAAAUGUAUUUACUCUUUGAUAUAAUUGAUAUUAUAGGGCCUAGCCUGACUCUGGUUCAGAUUUUCAUGCUGUUGUCUCUGGGUCCUGCUGGGGUGAGAGGACCUAGCUAUUACUGGCUCUUCUCACAAGAAACUCCAGUUGCCAGGAUUGUGAUUCUAAAAACCUUUUGCUCCACUCACAGUUAGACCUAAUAUAAUGUCAGUGUGAUUCUAGUGAUGAUCUAAAGCAGCAGUUCUCAACCUUUUUGGUCUCAGGACCCUUUGACAUUCUUGAAAAGUGUUGAAGAUCCCAAAGAGCUUUUGCUUAUGUGGGUUAUAUCUACCAAUAUUUACCAUAUUAGAAAUUGAAAUCGAGAACUUCUAUAGAUAGUUAAUUCAUGUUUUAAAUAAUAAACUCAUUACAUAUAACAUAAAUGACAUAUUUUUAUUAAAAAUAACUAUAUUUUCCCAAAAAAUUAGUGAAAGGAGUAGAAUUGUUUUGCAUUUUUGUAAAUCUAUUUAAUUUCUGGCUUCGUAGAAGACAUAAUUCUCAUAUUUGCUUUUUUAUUUAAUCUGUUGCAAUAUCACAUAAUUCUGGAAAAUUCCACCAUAUACUGGUGAGGGAAUAAGAGUGAAAUAGGCAAAUAAAAUCUUAGUAUUAUUAUGAAAAUAAUUUUGACCUUGCGGACCCCUGAAAGAACCUGGAGGACCCACGGGUCCCCAGAGCAUACUUUGAGAAUUGCCCAUCUAAAGUGUUCAAAACCAUAAAGUAUUUAUUCCAGUU
This is a long non-coding RNA of Lagenorhynchus albirostris (white-beaked dolphin), 2339 nucleotides long. RefSeq lists it as uncharacterized. The transcript is spliced from 2 exons. NCBI's taxonomy places the organism in Eukaryota, Metazoa, Chordata, Mammalia, Artiodactyla, Delphinidae. The record is from RefSeq and is a predicted model, not a curated record.